GUCUCAGUUCGGAUUGCAGGCUGCGACUCGCCUGUAUGAAGUCGGAAUUGCUAGUAAUCGUGGAUCAGCAUGCCACGGUGAAUACGUUCCCGGGCCUUGUACACACCGCCCGUCACACCAUGAGAGCCGGGAACACCCGAAGUCCGUAGUCUAACCUAUAUGGAGGACGCGGCCGAAGGUGGGUUUGGUAAUUGGGGUGAAGUCGUAACAAGGUACC
This 217-nucleotide ribosomal RNA is filed under the name uncultured bacterium. RNAcentral describes it as "partial 16S ribosomal RNA". It matches the Rfam family "Bacterial small subunit ribosomal RNA", at positions 1285 to 1500 of the family's 1533-position model. The record is from RNAcentral.